Molecule: ribosomal RNA, 253 nt
Filed under: uncultured bacterium
Lineage: Bacteria
Description: partial 16S ribosomal RNA
Rfam family: Bacterial small subunit ribosomal RNA
Source: RNAcentral
UACGUAGGGUGCAAGCGUUGUCCGGAAUUAUUGGGCGUAAAGAGCUCGUAGGCGGUCUGUCGCGUCUGCUGUGAAAACUCAGGGCUUAACCCUGAGCUUGCAGUGGGUACGGGCAGACUAGAGUGCGGUAGGGGAGACUGGAAUUCCCGGUGUAGCGGUGAAAUGCGCAGAUAUCGGGAGGAACACCGGUGGCGAAGGCGGUUCUCUGGGCCUGUACUGACGCUGAGGAGCGAAAGCGUGGGGAGCGAACAGG